Molecule: long non-coding RNA, 10992 nt
Filed under: Oryza sativa (Asian cultivated rice)
Lineage: Eukaryota; Viridiplantae; Streptophyta; Magnoliopsida; Poales; Poaceae
Description: long non-coding RNA (OSAT_LNC000554)
Source: RNAcentral
GUCGUCGACCUGUUCCGCCUCGGCUACCUCUUCUCCCCGCGCUGGCUCGACAUCUGGCGCGCCGAGCCGCUGUAUCUCCAUGACCGCCAGUUCGCCUCUCCCCGGAUCGCCGCCGCCGACGUCGCCGACGCCAUCGCCAACGUUCUCGAGCUCCACGUAGGCGACGGCGUCCAGUUCGUAGGCGUACAAGGAGAGAACGGGAGCGACGACGACGACGACGGAGAUGGAGGUGGAGGCAACGAGGUAGUUGGCGUGGAUGGCCACGAUUCUGGACCCGGGGUUGCCGUCGAACUCGAACACGAGGCAGCAGAUCAAGGCGGUGGAGUCGUCAACAAUUCUGACGGUGGAGGUGUCGCCGGCCGCCGUCGCCUCCGAUUCCCUGGAGGCGUAGGCGCCGACGACGGCGUCAUCAGCGACGACGACAUCUACGGCCACGACGACAUCCCAGAUGGUGGUUACGAGAUCGGCCGCGUCUACAGCUUCCGAGUGGAGACCACGCGGUGGCGCGCCGACCAACUCCACCGCUGGUGCGCCGCGCUCCAGCGCGGCCGUGUUCGUGAGGUCACCCUCGCCAACCUCACCAUGGAAGGGCACCCCGAGCUCCCCCAGGGCAUCCGCGACUGCGCCACAAGCCUCAAGGGACUCCACGUCUUCUUCUUCACCAUGGAAGCCGACCACAUCGACUCCCUCGUCAACCUCCGCGUCCUCGGGCUGUAUGGCUGCCCUGGCAUGAUCCUGCGAGCACUCCGCCCCGAAUCGGAAAUCCGGGUGCUGACGAUCGACUUCAGCCGUCUGGUAGACGUCCUCGUCCAGACCACGCGCCUCCGCUCUCUGGAGAUGCACAACAACGUGGUGCAGGGCACGGUCGUCGUGCACGACGCCAUCCAACUCCGGAAGCUGCACCUGUUACCACCGACGAGACCAUCCAAGAUCUUCAUCGGUGAAGCGCCCAGCCUGCGAAGCAUCGGCUAUCUCGAUCUCUUCAACACCGUCUUCGUGAUCAAAGGCAUUGUGAUUCAGGUAUGAUCAAAUCAAAUCGAAUCGUGUCCGUGUGCACUGCAAAUCGAUCGAUCAAAUUCAGACCUCUGCAUGCUGCUCAUCCGAUUAACUCAAAUCCAAAUCCAAAUUGGCUAAUUAACAAUACUAUACUCUGAUCAUGCGCAGGCUGGGAUGGUGCUGCAUCCUCCAAAGAUGCGUUCUGUCAGGAUUCUCGGCUUACGGGUGAACUACACAGAGAUGGGUCACAGGGUGCCCCGUGAGAUAGAGCAGAUUCUGAAGUGUUUCCCAUGCUUAGAGAAACUGGAGAUCAUGGUAAUAAACAGCCAAUCCAAUCAAUCAAUCAAUCAUUUUAUUGUCCUGAAAUUUGCUGUUAAUUGCUCUGCAUCAGUAGUAUUAGACUAUGUCUGAAUUCUGAUUUCUGAUUGGGUUGUGCGUGCGUGCCUUUGCUGCAGAAUUACUACCAACUGUCUCUGUAGUUCAAUGGUACUAGUAAUAUAUAAUAUGUCUGAGUUCUGUUUGAAUUGUGCGUGACUUGCAGAAUUAUCAUGUGUGAAUUCUGAUUAAGGUGCGCGUGUGUGCCUUUGCUGCAGAGAUACGAUGAGGUUGCACCAGAAGAAGGGCUCCUCAAAGCGGAUGAUGAACACAUCUAUCAAGGGAACAAUUUCUUCCGUGACCUUGGUUGUUUCAGCCAUCACCUGAGGUGGAUAUAUCUUACAGCUUUCAGAGGGGGCAAGUAUGAACUUGCUCUGGGCAAAGCCAUCCUCGACGAAGCUCGAGCCGGGACAAUGUUCAAAAUGCUACACCCACAAGGCAGCUAUACGGACUACAUCUCUAACCAGCUAUGGCGGGCUCUCGAACAUUUCAGAAUGACCACUCCAAAUCAUGCUGUCAGAGAUCGACAUGUGUCCGUUAUUCUACGUUUGAGAAAGGCCGGGGGUCUUCCUGGAUAGCAACGCAAGCUGCGAGCUAGCCGGUCCGGGUUCGAGCCUCACCCUCUCCUUAAUUCAAAAUUAAUCUAGUCAUUCCUAGAUUGGUCUUAUUUGUUUUGUGUCCAUUAUUCUAAGUUGAGUUACUUGAAGAAGGCUACUCCAGGUUGAAGAAGGCUACUCCAGGUUGUUGUUCUGCGCUGCUGUACUACUGUCAGAGAGGUUAGGCUGCGCUCUUUUCUUCAAUUUGUCUAGCUGGUCAAAUGAUGUAUGCUAAGUGAGCGAAUUGUGAAUGAUGCUCUCUUUGAGUCUGCAUAAUUGAACAAUUACAAAUCUUGAUAGCAGUAAAAGAAGAUACAGUAUCUUGAUGAGAUGAGCAUGUUGUUUGUGCUUUGCUUUUACCGGAAAAUUUGAUCAACAUAAAAGUGAAUUAUUUUUCUUAGAUGCUAAACAACUGUAGUGUACAUGUAUAUUUGUUGAUCAUGAUGCUAGACAAACCGGGAAAUUAUUUGACUGCGGCUAGAUUUUUAUACUACUAAGUGACAUGCAUAUACUCGGGUGCAAUUGUACAUUUGUACCUGGUGCAAAAAGGACGUUCUGGUUCUCCACUGACCUGUCAAGCUUCUACAUGGGUCUAAAGUUAAACUCUAAACUAUACGUGUAGAUUUGUUGAUCAUGGUGUGUAUUGAUUUGUUAUGCAUGUGUCAAUGUCUGUCUAUGUCGUUCAUUUUCUCCUACUGAUGUGUUGAGAGUUUAUGAAAUGUAAUUACAUGUAUCUAUCUGAACAAACAUGUAUUGUGGGCUCUUACAAAUUUUGUAUAGGCUGUGAUGGUUUAGCUUACCAGACCACCAUUCAAGAUUGGUCUGGCACUUGUAUAAUUAUAUAAUGUAUGAACUCAACUGUCAAAAAUAUUAUACUACUAUUAAUUAUUUUGGAGCCUUGAAUUGAGGAAGAAAUAUUUAAAUUUUUUUUGCUUAAUUAACAAUUAACAUAACUACUAACAACUGUUGUUUACCGUCUUGUGAAUUGUGAAUUUGUGAUGUGGAACUGUCAACCGUGUAAAGUCCUGUGGCACUUCACUGUACGAGUUGCAGAGCAAUCUCAUCAGAUUGCUCAUGCUGUUGAGGAAAUCUGCAUUUCACUUUUCUCCAGCGUUGGAGGAUCAUGUCGGCGGCGAGCACCACCUCUUGCGCUGCCGCCGCCGGUGUUCUUCAGCCGCCAAGUUCACGGCGAUCGAAGCGCCGGUGUUCUCUCUCCGGCGAGGGGUGCGGCCAAAGUACGGUGGCUAAUCCUAGUCCGUCCGAUCAACAUUGUGCGCCGCAGAUUUCCUGACGACCUUGACGAUGCGCUCGGUGACCUCGGCCUUGUCCAGGAACGACCCCUUGGCCUCCUCCGACGACAUCCACUGCCGGCCACACAGGGCCUCGCGCAGCACCACCGCGGGACUGAGGGACGCCACCGGGGAGGAGGAGGAAGGGGCCACCGCCACGCGGAGGUGCCUCAGGAGCAGGCUCCUCGCCCCGGCCAUUCUGGAGAGGAAUUGGGGAGGAGGAGGCGGCUCGCUGCUUCCGGGUGGGGAUCGGCGGCGGCGAGAGAGGAGGGAGGAGUUCGCUGCGGCGGCGGAGUGAGGAGAAGAGAGGAGAGCUCGAGGGGUUUUAGGCCCUUUAGGUAGAAUUGGGCCUUGUGGGCCUUCAUUUUAUCAGAGAAUUUUCUGAUACGGCCCAUGUAGCUGGAACCGGAAAAGCUAAUGGGCGAUUGAUCGCGAUCAGGGCAAUCGGCCCUCCUCCUCACGUGGUUUCUUUUUUUUUUUUGCACCGCAUUACUUUUUUAUUUUAGUAAAUUUAUGCAUCUAAAAUUUGUACAACCUUAAGUUUAUACAUCUAAAGUUUAUACACCUAAAGUUUAGAGACACAAAUUUUAUAAGUCAAAAGUUUAUAUAUCCGAUUCAAAUUUGAAUUUGAAUUCAAAUAUUUUUUAUAUAUAGUAUUUUCUAUAUAUCUAAAGUUUAUAGACCCAAAGUUUAUAAGUAAAAAGUUUAUAUACCCGAUUCAAAUUUGAAUUUCAAUUCAAUUUUUUUAUAUAUAGUAUUUCUAUACACCUAAAGUUUAGAGACCCAAAGUUUAUAAGUCAAAAGUUUAUAUAUCUAAUUCAAAUUUGAAUUUUAAUUCAAAUAUUUUUUAUAUAUUGUAUUUUCUAUACAUUUAAAGUUUAUAGGCCCAAAGUUUAUAAGUCAAAAUUUUAUAUGCCCGAUUCAAAUUUGGAUUUGAAUUCAAAUAUUAUAUAUAUAUAUAUAUAUAUAUAGUAUUUCUAUAUAUAAAUUUUUCUAACUGUUUUUUUUAAUUUAUGGUGUAGUAGGAAGAGAAGAAGGGGAGAGGAGCCGCAUAGGGGGAUGGGGGUCGAUUGCCUGGAGCGAUCGAUCGCCCAUUAGCUUUACCCAGCUGGAACUGCGUAAUUUGUAGGGAGAAGAGUUUACUUCAGCUUCCUCGUCUUGUCAUCGAGUUUUGAAAUCGUCCCUUUGAGGAAUCCUAUCCUAUAUAUCUAUAUAUAUCUAUACAGUUGAUCCUCACUACGUGCAAUUAAUUUGAUUUUUCUGUGAUGUGGUUGCUCCACAUCACUGAUUGCUUUGGAUUGUUAGAUUAAAAUUGCACGGCAGGAGAUUAGAUCGUUUCUGAUUCCUGCAUUGGUGGAAGACACAACGGAUGACAUGCAGCUCCCUGGCCUCUCUCUCGCGGUCUUCCAUUCUGAUCGCUCCACUCCACCGCCCCCUGUAACCGAUGAAAAUAAUGCAACCUCCUAGCACCCUGAUAGUUGAACAGCUUCGUUCUCGCCUCCACCCUAAUUAGCGUGCCACAAAAUCAAGGAAACCGAAGCAGAGGCAGUCAAAAAGACCACCUUAAUGAGCGAGCCAUACUGUUCUUGAGUUUAGUGUACAAAUAUAUGUGUAUAAACUUUUUUAUGCUUUUUGGAUCAGCAUUUUCCUUGGUUACCGAUUCCAUGCAUCAAUCAAAAGGUGCAUAAUUUCUUUAGUUCAUCAAAAAGUAACUUUGCGGGGAGAUAAUUUCAUCUGUUCACCUGAAAAAAAGUGUGCAGCAGUACAGAUCGAGGCAAAAUCAAUGUUUCGUGAUUGUUUCAUUCGUUGAAUGUCGCUUCCUUUUGCCCAAAAAAAAAUUAAACAUAUACGAUUGCUCUAUGUUUGAUAUAAAAAUAAAGUUUAUGUUGCCUCAUUUUUACAGUUUGCAGCUAUUUGUUUUUGUUUCUAGGGCAUUUAGCAAUGUCACAUCAUCUAUACACCAGCUUGCUACAGCCUACGUUAUUGCUACAUUGACCAAGUUAUCUUUGGCUGAUGUACCGAGACCUAAGUUAACUAUUUUAGAAAUAUAUCGGUGAUUCCGCAUGUUUCAGCAAAUAAAACCUGAUAAGCACUUGCUAAACAUCUUUAUAUUUCCUUCCAAGUGUUUUCAGCUCACAGUUGCCUUAGCUCCCUAUCUCACAUAUAUUUAUCGACAACAUUCCGCAGCAAUACGCGGGGUAUUAUCUAGUACUAGAUAUAACGCAUCCUAAUCUUAUCAAACUGGGUUAUAUUUUAGUCUCAAGGCAAUACUUCGGUCAACCAAACUAAGUCAGCAUGAGACCCACAUGUCAUACAAAAAAAAAUCACUACCCCUCUCUUCUCCUGUCUCUCUCUCACUCCAUCCACCAUCGACGCCACGCGUCCGUGAUGAGUGGAUGUGCUCGGUGCCAGCCCCGUCAGACUCUAGCGCGUGGCACAUGAAGGACAUGAUGGCGCCGGUGUGGGGCAGGGGACGCUUGGUCACUUGUCACGGUGAGGAAGGGCACAACGCGGCUCCAGAGUUUGGUCGCAGGAGGGGGCGAUUGGUUGCUAGCCGCUGCACGUGCUACUUGUGUCUGGUGCUUUAGGCGGAGACGGCGGCGGUGCGAAGCGAAGACGCUUUUGGGCCUACCUCGGCUGGGGUGAACACGCGGAGGCGGUGCUGGCAGUGUGGGCCACACGAAGACAACUUUGGCCUCGUGGGGCCACGAGUUGGCAUCGGCUGUGAUAGGUGUGGAGGCGACCACGAGGCCUAAGGAGGCGAGCACGGGUAGGCGCGGAGGUGGCCAUGUGGGCCAUAGAGACAUGCGGGCAGCUUCUGACGCAACAGGAACGACGACGGCGCAGCGGCUUGACCAUGCUGGCGCACCUUUCACUCGAUCCACCUGAGCUCCUAAUCUACUCCCCGCCGAUUCCUCUGUCACUCUCAUCUCCUCUACCACACUGGCCAGCUCAGCCUAUCACCUCUGCCUUCGACUCGUGCAGAUCUUGAUGCCGCCACUGCUCGACGAUUCUAUCCCCUGCUCCGCCCGACCCACUACUUCUUCUCUGGUGUCCCCGUCUCCAGCUUCGCCAUAUCCUCAAUCCGGCCGCCACUACACAUGACAUAGGAGAUUGGGAGACCUUCCAAUUCGCCGCAAUCACUGCCCCUCUCCCCGUCAGUCGCUGCCCCUCCCAAUCUGUCGUGUGAUGAGCGGGCAACGUCGACACUUUGGCUUGUAGGCAGCAAGGCACACCUCCAUUAACUAUUGGGCCUCCUCCACUGCCGCCGUCGGGCACACCGCGUGUUGACCAUCAUCUCCUCGCCGAUUACAUGGUGCCUCCACCGCAUUUGCUACCGCUGAGUCCAAAAGUUGGGGAGGGAGAUAGAUAAGGAAGAAUAUAUUGUUUCACAAACAUACGGGUCUCACUUGGGUUUUAAUUUUUCUUCUAGUGCCACGUCAGCCAAAACUGUCCUCAAUACUGCAUUGGGAUCUCAUUUAACCUGGUCUGCAAAGAUUAGGGAUGGGUUAUAUCUGGUAUUAUCGUGAAGGACAUUUUCAAACUUGCGCUCAACUUGAGGGACCCAAAUGAACUUAUUAGUUUAUAUGAUGGCCUCUUUGAAUCACUGUCAGGAAUUUUAAUUUAGCUUUCAUGAGGAGCUCCUUUUAAAUCUGUGCAAGCACAUAACACUACUAUACACACCUAAUAUAGGGUACCCAUAUGUUUAUACCUACAAAUAUAAUCCCUGACAUGUUUACAUAGACCAAAAUGAAUGGAAAUUCCAAGCCUUAAUUAAUGAAUAGUAUUGAAGACGUGUAUGCAUGUACUCCUCUGUCCCAUAAAAAAACUAAUCCUACCAUGGUCCAGGUUCAUAGCCAGGAUUGGCUUUUUUUUAAAGGACAGAUUAGUACAAAAUAUUCAUGGUCAAUAGAAUUUAUACUGCAGUGUAUGGAGUCAUACAACCACAACUAACGACUUCAUCACAGCACUUUCCAACUUUCAAAAAUUACAGAGCAGGAAUUUUACAUGAAUAAAUUUGAUUAUUAUGAAAUUCUGGGAAGAAAUCCUCCGUUUGAAAGGAAAUAUUCAUAUCUUUUCCAAUUCACGUAGGGAUGAAACGAUAUCUAUACUAUUUUAAAUAUUAGCAGUGGUGCCACCACCAUCUCAUAUCACUGACGUUUGUUCCUCCCAACUUCUGAGAAAUUUUGUGCCCCCUAAUUCAAAUGCUUCAUAUUCUCAGAGUAUAGCCAACUACUAACUCCAAAUCAUCUAUAGUCAAUUUAAUAACCAAUUCAUACGAUAGUUACAUAUAAAUAUAUACUACACUAGUAAUAUUUGUAGUCUGUGCUGCAGCUGGCUAUAAAUUUGUAGCCCGCUGCUCUUCUCUCUCCUCAUUUAUCUACUCGACAUGUGUUUAUAGCUAACUUCUAGUCUGCUAUUGUACCUGCUCUCAAUCCCCAGCAUGCCCUUGGAUUCCAUGGUAACGCACGGGUAGUUGGCUAGUAUAUGAAAUUUCUUCAUUGGGGUCAGAUGAUUAUGACUAUUUACAUGUACAUCAAUGAUCCAAUCCACUCCCAUGCCCUUGGAAGAAAACUUUGAUCUCGACAUUGUGCAUGUAGUUCGCUAUUCGAGGGAGUAUUAGUAUAGAACCAUCUGUUCUUGCCAAAUUGCACGCGGAGUACUACACACAUCAGAAUUCAGAAACACAUCAUCGUUCGUUUGAUGAUGGGUGAUGGAGCUGAGACUAGAGACUGGAGUACACAACGCAGUUUCCAUUAUUCAACAUGGGUUUAUGAUGCCGAUUGCAAAGGGCGAUCAACCAAAUCAUUGCUCAUGGGCCAGACACAAACUGAGAGGAUAAUAAUGCCUCGGUGUCCCUACCUUGUCAUUUCACGCUUCUCCGUGGGGCCAGGUGUCCCACCAAAAGCAAGAGUUGUUUGAAGUUAAUUCGAACUAAUCCUUCCCGCAUUAAAAAAAAAGAAAAAAACGACUAAUUAGCACAUAAUAAUUAAGUAUUAGUAAUUUUUUUAAAAAAUAAAUUAAUAUGAUUUUUUAAAACAGCUUUUAUAUAGAAAAUUUCUUUAAAAAUGUAUGAGUAGUUUGGAAAGCGUGUAUGAAAAAAAGAGGGUUAGGAUGGGAAAGCCAAAAAAAACACACACACAGUCGUGAUGAUGUUAUUAUUAAUAUGAGAUGUGUUCCCUAGUUACCGUUCACGCACGCAAACGCGAAUCGCGGGUGUGCCGGUGUGGUGCUGUACGAGACGGCGGAUGCCGGAUGGAUGGUUUUCUUUUCCGCUCCGCCGCGCGCGGCCGCGCCGACGCCUAGCGUGUCGCCUCGACGCUGGCCUCCAUGUGCGCUGCUGCGGCGGAGCUCGCGCGCCUUUCAGAUAAGCACCUUUCGGUUUGGAAUUUACGCAAGGCUGAUUAAGGAGCUUGUUUACUUUAGAAGAUGCCUUGCUGCUGUCUAAUCCUAAUCCUAAUCCUAUCAGAUAAUGAUGAUGUCCGUUUUUCACAAUCAUGCCGAUCGAUGAGUCUGAGUUAUGGAGCAUUAUGAUCGUAUACACCUCGGAGAAAUUUUACACCUACGAAAAGGGCAAGAGAGCAUUGUUGUGAAAACGUGAAUACCAGAGACUUUCCUAAUAUAUAAAUAGAAGGGGGUAAAACUUCAAACUCAGGCUGGCUAACCCAUCCGUAUUCUAAAAUAUAACAAAUCUAAAACUGAAUUAUAUACAUGAUAGUAUGAAUGUAGUCAUGAUUUAUAUUUAGAUUCAUAGUGCUCUCUUCAUCCUAUAAGAUAAGCGAUAUUAGAAGGAUGUGUACAUCAAUCUGGACAACGCAAUAAAUCUGGACGGAGGGAGUACUUCCUUCGUAAAGAUUGACGUUGCAGAGAUUAAGAGACAAAAUAGCUCAUAGGGUAAAAUUAAAUCGGCCUCCAUAUUUAAUCAGCUGAUGUUAAAUGCUUGUUAAACAACAAUGAAUUAAUGAGCAUGGACUCAAUUCAAAUUAGUGGACCAGAAUGAUCCAAGGAAAAACUAGAUGAUACCACAAAGCUGAAAUGAUCACCUUUUAGGGACAUUUUGAAGGCUGUAAAACGACAUCUUAUGAGAACAUAGGAAGUACCGAAGUAAUAGAAUACGUGUAAUCUGAUCUUAGUUUCUCUCGGUCCAAAAUAUAAAAAACUAGUAUUGAAUGAGAUACAUCUACUACAGGAAACUUGUCUAGGUUCGUAGCAUGUGUUCCACUCAUAACAAUAUAUUUCAAGACGAAGGUAUUACAUUAAUAAUAAUAAUAAUAAUAAUAAUAAUAAUAAUAAUAAUAAUAAUAAUAAUAAUGUGAAAGGGCAUGUACCCCAGUAGUUAUAAGAGUCUCAGUGAUACCUUAGGUUCUGGCUUCGACUCCCCAUGGGAGUGAAUUUAAAUUUUUCAGGAUUUAACGGUGCUUUCAGUGGUAGGCGACGUACCCGUCGACAGCGAAUUUGAAUUUUCCAUGAUUUAACGGCUUUGUGCUUUCAGUGGUAGGCGACGUACCCGUUGAUAGCGAGGCAUAAUAGUGUCCUAUCUAUUCAGGAUUUAAUAGCUUUGUGCUUUUAAUAAUAGACGGCGUACCCGUCGACAGCAGUUUUGUGCUUUUAGUGAUAUACAGCGUAAUAGUGUCCUAUCUAUUCGUGUGGAAUAUAACGCGUACUAAAUCACUAGAGUGAGGAGACAAACCACACCAACUGACACCAACAUCAUUUUCUCUCGACAAGUCUCGAGUGACGCCAAGUUGCCAACUGUGACUCGUACACUCUACAGUCUCCGCGGUAGAACUGUAGAGCUCCGCUACACGGCAAAUUCCGUGCGUUGCGCGUGAGAGACUGACCGUGCACGAGCCCGAUCCGGACCCGACCGGCUGGAAGCUGCCUCGGCCUCGCUCCACACCGCGUCCCGGCCGGCCCGGCUCGCUCGUAGCUUCCUCUCAUAUGAUUUGAGGCUAUCCAUAAUCCAUUCCACUUCUAUAAAUCCCAAGCGCCCACUACUCUCCUUCCACUACCCAUCACUCCCCCAAGAUUCCACGGAUAUUUUCUCUCCCCCUGCUCCCGUCGCCAUCGCAAAGGAGAAAAAAAAAAGGUGAGCAAUCGCUUCUCUGCUCGCUCGGCUCAGAUCUGCGUGUGUACGCUGGUAGAUCUGUGGAAAGAGGUUCAAUUUUUUGAGCCCAGUUCGCGAUCUGCGGUUCCGCGAGAGUGAACGGAUCUUCCGGAUCGUGGAAAUUCAUCGUUUGCUUUUCUUUUUUUUUUUUGUUUCUUCUUUGGAUGUGUCUCCGAUCUGAAUCCGCUUGAUCUGGACAGAGGAGGAAGGAAGGAAGGAUGAGCGCCACGGCGGUGUCGUCGCUGAACCCGGACGCGCCGCUCUUCAUCCCGGCGGCGUUCCGGCAGGUGGAGGACUUCUCGCCGCAGUGGUGGGACCUCGUCAAGACCACCGCCUGGUUCCGCGACCACUGGUUCCACGAGCACCAGCAGCUCGACGAGAUGGCCGACUCCCUCGCCCUCCACGACGCCGCCGCCGACGACGACGACCUCGCCGGCCUCCUCCCCGACGACGCCUUCGACGACGACGACGACGACGACCUCUUCUUCGACCAGACCCAUAACCUCCUCGUCGAUCCCCCGCAGCCGCCCGCCGCUCUCAAGACUGGUACCGACUGACUCACUCGCUUGCUCGCUUUGUUGAUCAUCAAAAGAUCGAGUCUAAAACGAGAAUUGCAGUGAAAUUCAUC